This 338-nucleotide transfer-messenger RNA is filed under the name Chloroflexi bacterium 13_1_40CM_4_68_4. It matches the Rfam family "transfer-messenger RNA". Rfam says of the family: Bacterial tmRNA, also known as 10Sa RNA or SsrA, is named for its dual tRNA and mRNA-like properties. Its role is to liberate the mRNA from a stalled ribosome. To accomplish this part of the tmRNA is used as a reading frame that ends in a translation stop signal. The record is from RNAcentral. Lineage: Bacteria; Bacillati; Chloroflexota.
GGGGAUGCGUGGUUUCGACAGGGCAGGCGACGGGAUCGUCGCGAGCCGAGGAUGUCGCUUCACACCUCGUUAAUCCGAGCGGCAGCCAGACAACUGGCAACACUUCUUACGCUCUCGCUGCCUAAACAGUGAGCGUCCUCCCGGUCUCCUCUCCGCGGGCCGGGAAGGGCGACGAAAGCGGAGAUGCGNNNNNNNNNNNNNNNNAACCGACCUGGGGAGACCGAGAGCGCGUCGGUGCGCGCUCGGGAUCCCGAGACAAAAAAUCGCCGACCACGCUCGUAGACGCGGUCCAGUCAAUCGUCUUGGACGGGGAGUUCGACCCUCCCCCAUCUCCACAG